Non-coding RNA from Triticum aestivum (bread wheat), 119 nucleotides. The record is from Rfam. NCBI's taxonomy places the organism in Eukaryota, Viridiplantae, Streptophyta, Magnoliopsida, Poales, Poaceae.
UAUUUAUUCCCUCCGUCCGAAAAUACUUGUCAAGAUAUAAAAUAGAUGUAUCUAAAACUUAAAUACGUUUAAAUACAUCUAUCCCCGCGACAAGUAUUUCCGGACGGAGUGAGUAUUCA